Molecule: ribosomal RNA, 373 nt
Filed under: uncultured bacterium
Lineage: Bacteria
Description: bacterial SSU rRNA
Rfam family: Bacterial small subunit ribosomal RNA
Source: RNAcentral
GUAGGGGGCAAGCGUUGUCCGGAUUUAUUGGGCGUAAAGAGCUCGUAGGCGGCUCAGUAAGUCAGGUGUGAAACCUCCAGGCUCAACCUGGAGACGCCACCUGAUACUGCUGUGGCUAGAGUCCGGUAGGGGAGCGUGGAAUUCCUGGUGUAGCGGUGAAAUGCGCAGAUAUCAGGAGGAACACCAGCGGCGAAGGCGGCGCUCUGGGCCGGAACUGACGCUGAGGAGCGAAAGCGUGGGUAGCAAACAGGAUUAGAUACCCUGGUAGUCCACGCCGUAAACGUUGGGCACUAGGUGUGGGUCACAACCAACGUGAUCUGUGCCGUAGCUAACGCAUUAAGUGCCCCGCCUGGGGAGUACGGCCGCAAGGCUA